UCCUCCGCGCACUUCCCCGCGCGCGCGUCGUGCGGGUGCAUGAACGCCGAAGGGGACGGGCUCGACCCCGACUGCAACUGCAUCUUCAUGCCGUACGGCGACGGGGCGUCCUUCAGCGGCUACAAGAAGGACCCGGUCCUGGUCGAC
Molecule: non-coding RNA, 147 nt
Filed under: Chlorarachnion reptans
Lineage: Eukaryota; Cercozoa; Chlorarachniophyceae
Source: RNAcentral